Molecule: ribosomal RNA, 253 nt
Filed under: uncultured bacterium
Lineage: Bacteria
Description: partial 16S ribosomal RNA
Rfam family: Bacterial small subunit ribosomal RNA
Source: RNAcentral
UACGUAGGGGGCAAGCGUUGUCUGGAAUCAUUGGGCGUAAAGCGCGUGUAGGCGGCCAGGUAAGUCCGUUCUGAAAGCCCGGGGCUCAACCCCGGGAGGCGGAUGGAUACUGCUUGGCUCGAGUCCGGAAGAGGCGAGUGGAAUUCCCGGUGUAGCGGUGAAAUGCGCAGAUAUCGGGAGGAACACCAAUGGCGAAGGCAGCUCGCUGGGACGGUACUGACGCUGAGACGCGAAAGCGUGGGGAGCAAACAGG